AACUGAUCAUCCAACUAGUCCAAUUAACUCCAAAAUCAUCCUGCAAAAAACUAAUAAAAAAACUACUUGAAUCAGUGGUUAACGAAAAAAGAAAAAAACCAAAAUAGACAGAAGACAAGCAGUAAAAUCUCACUCUCCCUUCACUCUCCCCAAAUUUCAAUUCUAAUUUGUGUAACCCAUUAACCCAUGCCAUAAGCAAAACCAUGCCUCCAAUCAUCCGCCAUCAACUCUUACCACUAUCGAUGCCGACAGUGACAACCAGCAACGUCUGCUCUUCUCCUCAUGGAAAACCUCGCCACUGGAAAGUUUGUUUUUCUCUUCGCAUAGCCAGAAGGUCGAUUUAGAACUAUCUUCGUUGGCUUCGCCCGCCACUAUCCUCAUCGUUGUUUCUAUCCUCACCGUCGAGUAUCUGUCUUCGAGCCAUCUCUCUCUCUAUCUGUUUAGCUCACUGUAAAAGUGUGAAGUGCGAUCGUGGACUCUUUGCUGCCAUAGACUCUUCACUGUCUCUCUCUAUUGCCGUGAGUUCUUCAAUUUUCAGUAAUUCAGUUUUUUUAUUUUGUUAAUUAAUAAUUAUAAUGAUUUUGAAUUACUGUUGUUUAUUUUUUUUAAUUUUGGACUUUGGUCACUGAAUAGAAUAGAUUUUGAUUAAUAUAAUUGUCAAAAAUAAUGAUAAGUUCAAUUUUAAAGGAAUAGGUUUUAUUUUGCUAUAUGUAAUUGAUAUUAUUGUUGGCGGUAUCUUGUAGAUGGAAUAACCACAAAGUGAUCAAUAGCCACAAGACAAUGUUGUCUAAGAAUUUCAAAUGGGUUUCUUUUGAGGAAAAUCUGAUCUAGCUUGGCAAUAUUUCACUGUGAGUAGUAUCUUUGUUUAAUUGAAAACUUAUUUGUUCAAUGUUAUUUCUUUUGGUGAUAGAACAUUUUGUGUUUGUCAUUUAUGUGCAGUUUUGAUUUUUUUUUUUUUAAUUAUAAACUUUGAUGUUUCAAUUUAUUUAUGAACUUUUAAUGAUAAAUUAUGG
RNAcentral lists this long non-coding RNA (1013 nucleotides) under Arachis ipaensis. RNAcentral's name for it is "long non-coding RNA (AIPA_LNC001065)". Lineage: Eukaryota; Viridiplantae; Streptophyta; Magnoliopsida; Fabales; Fabaceae. The record is from RNAcentral.